GUAGUUAGCCGGGGCUUCCUCACAGGGUACCGUCACUUCUUCGUCCCCUGCGACAGAGGUUUACAAUCCGAAAACCUUCUUCCCUCACGCGGCGUUGCUGGGUCAGGCUUGCGCCCAUUGCCCAAUAUUCCCCACUGCUGCCUCCCGUAGGAGUCUGGACCGUGUCUCAGUUCCAGUGUGGCCGAUCAGCCUCUCAGCUCGGCUACCCAUCGUCGGCUUGGUGGGCCGUUACCUCACCAACUACCUAAUGGGACGCGAACCCCUCUUGGAGCGAUAAAUCUUUGACCUCAUCCCGAUGUCGGGUCGUGGUCUUAUGCGGUAUUAGCACUUGUUUCCAGGUGUUAUCCCCCACUCCAAGGCAGGUUGUUCACGCGUUACUCACCCGUUCGCCACUAAGUUAUCAACCGAAAUCAAUAACUCCGUUCGACUUGCAUGUGUUAGGCACGCCGCCAGCGUUCGUCCUGAACCAAGAUCAAAUUCUGA
RNAcentral lists this ribosomal RNA (483 nucleotides) under uncultured bacterium. RNAcentral's name for it is "partial 16S ribosomal RNA". The record is from RNAcentral.